AAAUUGUUCAUGGAGUGGUCUGUGAAGACCUUCGGAGGGAGUUGUAUCCCCGUGGAGUGGCAAUCAAGGCAUCGUUCUGAGACCUGCACUGGAAUACCGCGUCGAGUCCUUGCUCAUCCCCACGAAUGCUUUGGGUUUCGCUGUGAUGUGUGUGCAGCUGUAUAUGGGCCUGUUGGGGCUGAUACAGCAGUCAUUCUUUCCAAGAAAUCUU
Long non-coding RNA from Homo sapiens (human), 211 nucleotides. The record is from Ensembl. NCBI's taxonomy places the organism in Eukaryota, Metazoa, Chordata, Mammalia, Primates, Hominidae.